UACGUAGGAUGCAAGCGUUGUCCGGAAUUAUUGGGCGUAAAGAGCGAGCAGGCGGUUUGGAAAGUUGGACGUGAAAUUUUAGGGCUUAACCCUAAAGGGUCGUCCAAAACUCCCAGACUAGAGUGCAGGAGAGGAAAGCGGAAUUCCCGGUGUAGUGGUGAAAUGCGUAGAGAUCGGGUGGAACACCAGGGGCGAAGGCGGCUGCCUGGCCCUGACCUGACGCUGAGGCGCGAGAGCGUGGGGAGCAAACCGG
This 253-nucleotide ribosomal RNA is filed under the name uncultured bacterium. Its description in RNAcentral is "partial 16S ribosomal RNA". It matches the Rfam family "Bacterial small subunit ribosomal RNA", at positions 524 to 776 of the family's 1533-position model. The record is from RNAcentral.